AACGCGAAGAACCUUACCUGGACUUGACAUGUAUUUGACGACUACAGAGAUGUAGUUUUCUCGCAAGAGACAGAUACACAGGUGCUGCAUGGCUGUCGUCAGCUCGUGCCGUGAGGUGUUAGGUUAAGUCCUGCAACGAGCGCAACCCUCAUCCUAUGUUGCCAACGGGUUAUGCCGGGAACUCAUAGGAAACUGUCGAUGAUAAGUCGGAGGAAGGUGGGGAUGACGUCAAAUCAGCAUGGCCCUUACGUCCAGGGCUACACACGUGCUACAAUGGGCGGUACAACGGGAAGCAAGACAGCAAUGUGGAGCAAAUCCCUUAAAACCGUCCUCAGUUCGGAUUGUGGGCUGCAACCUGCCCACAUGAAGUCGGAAUCGCUAGUAACCGCAGAUCAGAACCGCUGCGGUGAAUACGUUCCCGGGCCUUGUACACACCGGAGUGC
This 443-nucleotide ribosomal RNA is filed under the name uncultured bacterium. RNAcentral's name for it is "bacterial SSU rRNA". It matches the Rfam family "Bacterial small subunit ribosomal RNA", at positions 958 to 1398 of the family's 1533-position model. The record is from RNAcentral.